CCUACGGGUGGCAGCAGUGAGGAAUAUUGGUCAAUGGACGAGAGUCUGAACCAGCCAAGUAGCGUGAAGGAUGACUGCCCUAUGGGUUGUAAACUUCUUUUAUAUGGGAAUAAAAUGUUCCACGUGUGGGAUUUUGUAUGUACCAUAUGAAUAAGGAUCGGCUAACUCCGUGCCAGCAGCCGCGGUAAUACGGAGGAUCCGAGCGUUAUCCGGAUUUAUUGGGUUUAAAGGGAGCGUAGGUGGAUUGUUAAGUCAGUUGUGAAAGUUUGCGGCUCAACCGUAAAAUUGCAGUUGAAACUGGCAGUCUUGAGUACAGGAGAGGUGGGCGGAAUUCGUGGUGUAGCGGUGAAAUGCUUAGAUAUCACGAAGAACUCUGAUUGCGAAGGCAGUUCACUGGACUGCAACUGACACUGAGGCUCGAAAGUGUGGGUAUCAAACAGGAUUAGAUACCCCUGUAGUC
RNAcentral lists this ribosomal RNA (460 nucleotides) under uncultured bacterium. Its description in RNAcentral is "partial 16S ribosomal RNA". It matches the Rfam family "Bacterial small subunit ribosomal RNA", at positions 338 to 795 of the family's 1533-position model. The record is from RNAcentral.